RNAcentral lists this unclassified non-coding RNA (395 nucleotides) under fungal sp. RNAcentral describes it as "partial internal transcribed spacer region". The stretch from base 1 to 46 matches the Rfam family "Eukaryotic small subunit ribosomal RNA", at positions 1786 to 1831 of the family's 1831-position model. Lineage: Eukaryota; Fungi. The record is from RNAcentral.
AAGUCGUAACAAGGUUUCCGUAGGUGAACCUGCGGAAGGAUCAUUAACACGAUUCCCUAUACAAACAACCGUGAACACGUUUUCCUACCUCAUGCUUCAUAGCCGUCCAGGCGUGGUGAAGGGUGGAGGUCGGCUGCUCUAGGGCAGUCGGCCUUGGCCUGUCUGGACUACCGAGACUUCGAUCUCGAAGGUUAUGAGGAGGUUGAGGCAUUCUCGCCCUAAUCAUCUCCAUCCUUUGAUGGUUAGGGCGUUCCUAUUCACUAUUCACCCCUUUCAACCAAUCGUACUAAUUUGUGCUUAUUGGCCGCAAGGCUGGUAGGACACCACGAUAUACGUAACUAAGAACAACUCUUAACAAUGGAUAUCUUGGCUCUGAUAACGAUGAAGAACGCAGC